GCUGGCGGCAGGCCUAACACAUGCAAGUCGAGCGCCCCGCAAGGGGAGCGGCAGACGGGAGAGUAACACGUGGGAACGUACCCUUCAGUUCGGAACAACCCAGGGAAACUUGGGCUAAUACCGGAUACGUCCGUAAGGAGAAAGAUUUAUCGCUGAAGGAUCGGCCCGCGUCUGAUUAGCUAGUUGGUGGGGUAAUGGCCCACCAAGGCGACGAUCAGUAGCUGGUCUGAGAGGAUGAUCAGCCUCACUGGGACUGAGACACGGCCCAGACUCCUACGGGAGGCAGCAGUGGGGAAUAUUGGACAAUGGGCGCAAGCCUGAUCCAGCCAUGCCGCGUGGAUGAUGAAGGCCUUAGGGUUGUAAAGUCCUUUCGGCGGGGAAGAUAAUGACGGUACCCGCAGAAGAAGCCCCGGCUAACUUCGUGCCAGCAGCCGCGGUAAUACGAAGGGGGCUAGCGUUGCUCGGAAUCACUGGGCGUAAAGCGCACGUAGGCGGACUCUUAAGUCGGUGGUGAAAUCCUGGAGCUCAACUCCAGAACUGCCUUCGAUACUGGGAGUCUUGAGUCCGGGAGA
RNAcentral lists this ribosomal RNA (572 nucleotides) under uncultured soil bacterium. RNAcentral's name for it is "bacterial SSU rRNA". It matches the Rfam family "Bacterial small subunit ribosomal RNA", at positions 35 to 655 of the family's 1533-position model. The record is from RNAcentral.